Molecule: transfer RNA, 70 nt
Filed under: Sphaeronemoura elephas
Lineage: Eukaryota; Metazoa; Arthropoda; Insecta; Plecoptera; Nemouridae
Description: tRNA-His
Source: RNAcentral
AUUUAAGUAGUUUAAUUAAAAAAAUUCUGAUUUGUGGUGUCAGCGAUACAAAUUUUUUUUGUCUUAGAUC